Molecule: microRNA, 23 nt
Filed under: Heligmosomoides polygyrus
Lineage: Eukaryota; Metazoa; Nematoda; Chromadorea; Rhabditida; Heligmosomidae
Description: hpo-miR-10051-5p
Source: miRBase by way of RNAcentral
GAUAGGUGUCGGUACCCCAGAAC